This 1499-nucleotide long non-coding RNA is filed under the name Gallus gallus (chicken). Lineage: Eukaryota; Metazoa; Chordata; Aves; Galliformes; Phasianidae. The record is from RNAcentral.
CAGGCAAGCACCUCUCACAGAGCCGCCCGGUGUGUCCUGGAGCACAGGCGCUGCACGUGGGCUGCCCGUCUGUGUCCUCAAAGCAGCUCUGGCUGUCAGUACGGGGACCGUGGCAUGGGCAGGGGCGGCAGUCGCCUGGGGUCCCGUGGGUGGCAUCGCCAUAGUAGCCAGGCUGGCACUUGUCACACUGAGCACCCUCCGUGUGGUCCCGGCAGCCCUGGCACUCGCCAGUCUCAGGGUGGCACUCAGUGGCGUGCCCAUGGCACUGACAGCGCUCACAGGUGCCCAGGUAUAGCCCGCUGGUGCUGCGUGUGUAGCCCACGUCGCAGUCCUGGCACGAGGGACCACGGUAGCCAGGGGGACAGGUGCAGUCUUCCACCUCCAGUGCCAGCGGCCGGCCAGUGGCAUGGGGCACGGCCACAUCCAGACGGACAUCGGCAAGCCUGCUCUCCGUUGGCUGCUCCGAGUAGGAUGCACGGAUCAUGAGGACAUCGAUGUCGGCCAGGGCCAUCAGGAGGUGCUCCCGGGUGGCAUCACGCCCAUCCGCUCUGCGCCAGGCGCGCUCGCGGAAGGGCACGGUGACGGUGGUGGGGACACCGAGCAUGGGGCUGGCAUCAGAAAAGUACUUGAGGGAGAUCCCAUUGCCUUGCAGCAGGACAUCGGGCUGGUGCUGCAGCAGCUGGGCACCUGCCGGUGCAUGGUGUGUCACCGUGUACUUCAGCUCGCCCCCAUACGACGUCACCUUGUCUCCAGUGAAGGAUGAGGGCAGCACCCAGAAGUAGACAUCACGAGGCAGCGUGUGGAAGUCUGAGAAGACGAGUUCCCUUGUGGCGGCAAAGCGUGAGCCCUCGAUUGCUGUCCUUGUGCCCGCCAGGUUGGCCAGGUGCAGCGGCGCCACCUCCUCAGAGGUGACACGGACCUGAUCACGGCUCCAGGAGGAGCUAGCGCACUGCCGAGAGACGCCCAUGCAGAAGCACUUGAGGCAGCCAUCAGGAUUGGCAUCGCUCAGGUGGAAGGUCCCCACGGCACACUCGUCACACUGCCGCCCUGUCACGUUGGGCUUGCAGCGGCACGUGCCGCCCACCGCGUCCUUGCCCCCACGUGCAUCGCACUUGAUGAGCUCCUGGCCGAUGCGGGUGCACUUGCCACCAGGCUGGAUGGGGUCUCCCUCAUACCCCGGGGCACACCUCUCACAGCGGCGACCAGCAUAGCCGGGGGCACAGGCAUCACAGGUGGCCUGGCCAUCUGUGUCCAGGAAGCACGACUCGGAGAACCUGCGGACCGUCUCAGUGUAGGGGCAGGGGCAGGGGCGGCAGGCAGUGGCUGUGCCCUGUGUGGCGUCACCGAAGAAGCCAGGUUUGCACUUCUCACACUGGGGACCCUCCGUGUUGUGCUGGCAGUUCAGGCAAUGCCCGUAGACCUGGUCGCAGGUGCUGGAGUGGCCAUGGCAGCUGCAGCCGGAGCACGUCCCCAGGUAGGGACCCUGCGGCACCCUCUCA